RNAcentral lists this signal recognition particle RNA (265 nucleotides) under Candidatus Caccovivens faecavium. RNAcentral describes it as "signal recognition particle sRNA large type". It matches the Rfam family "Bacterial large signal recognition particle RNA". Rfam says of the family: The signal recognition particle (SRP) is a universally conserved ribonucleoprotein involved in the co-translational targeting of proteins to membranes. Archaeal SRP consists of a 7S RNA and homologues of the eukaryotic SRP19 and SRP54 proteins. The record is from RNAcentral. Lineage: Bacteria; Bacillati; Bacillota; Clostridia; Eubacteriales.
CUGAGAUAGAUGGGGAGUUAGCGGUGCCCUGUAACCUGCAAUCCGCUAUAGCAGGAUUGAACGCUUGCUUAGGAGUAAUUUGGUUGAAGAUGUGCGUAGGAUAGGGGCGUUGAAAUCAAGGUCUUAUGCAAUUGGUAACUCUGAACCAUGUCAGGUCCUGACGGAAGCAUCAUUAAGGAGAUCUAUCGAUGUGCCAUAAGGUAGCUUUGGUGGAGUUUUUGUUCUACGAAACAGUCAGUCUUAUUAUUUCGAAGCAUUCUCUCAG